RNAcentral lists this unclassified non-coding RNA (374 nucleotides) under soil metagenome. RNAcentral describes it as "partial contains internal transcribed spacer 2 and large subunit ribosomal RNA". The stretch from base 1 to 120 matches the Rfam family "5.8S ribosomal RNA", at positions 35 to 154 of the family's 154-position model. The record is from RNAcentral.
GAUGAAAAACGCAGCGAAAUGCGAUAAUUAAUGUGAAUUGCAGAAUUCCGUGAAUCAUCGAGUCUUUGAACGCACAUUGCGCCUCAUGGCAUUCCGUGAGGCAUGCCCAUCUCAGCGUUAGAAAAUAUUCUCAAAUUUUAGUUUUGUGCUAAAAUUUGGAUCAUGUCAAGGAAGCUAUUACUAUUAUUGUGAUCGCUCUUUGGAAAUUGAUAGGUCUUUGAGUUGCUACUCAUAGAACGUGAUGAAUCUUUCUUCGUUCUAUUGUAAUUCACUCUGGUAGUCCUAAAACUUGUAUGCCUGUGGCAUAUCUUGUAAUUUGACCUGAGAUUGGGUAGGGAUACCCGCUGAACUUAAGCAUAUCAAUAAGCGGAGGA